GAAGCGGAGCGCUGGGGUGCGGCGGCAGGACGCCCGGCAGAGCCCUAAGAAACCAGCAUCGACGCCUUGCCACAAAAACUCAACGUCUCUCCCUUUUGACAAUUUAGGCUCUUAACUUGGGGGCUGCUUACCCUCUUCCCAGCGGAAAGGAAAGACCAGCUGGAAGACCCUUGAAAUGCAGAGGAAAAUGUUCCCUCUCCAAUGGCUGGCAUAAUCUGCAGGAUAAGCUUUUGCUGGAUAUUUGCUCUGAAAAUUCUGUGUCUUUGCGAUGCUGGGACAUCUGACAUACUGCCAGCAGAAGCUUCAUGAAGGACACCAUGUGUUACAGUGGAAAUUAGAAUUAGAAUUCGCGGAAAGGAGGAGAGGGCCUUGCAGCAUCG
Molecule: long non-coding RNA, 380 nt
Organism: Manis javanica (Malayan pangolin)
Lineage: Eukaryota; Metazoa; Chordata; Mammalia; Pholidota; Manidae
Source: RefSeq, a predicted model, not a curated record